CUAAACUUAGAAGUUUAUGAUUUAGAAGGACUAAAAAUAUAUUAAACCCUAAAACUUUUUAUCAUAAGCAUUACAAUUGGAUAGCGAACUAAAUUUACAUGGCUCUGUUAGUAACACCAUGACAUUCACUCCAGUACAACACCAUCAUUGAUAAUCAUAACUAAUAAUAAUUGUUUAUAAAUAUAAUUAAACAUGGGUUAUUUCAAGCACUGCUCUCAAUUUGGACUAAGAUAUAGAUAGAUACUCUAGAAACAGUAUGUAAGUAAUGUAUUGCAUGGUACAGCUGUUGCUCUCUGUCCAAGUAAUUAGUAUAGGGUAUGCUGCAGAUCAUAAAGCCAAAAUUUCAAACAACUUUGACUCAGCCCCUAGAUGUUCUUAAUUUGAACAUUAAAAAGGAAGUAGCAAAAGAAACACUAACAUAAUAUAUAAGAAACUCAAAGCCUAUAAAACUUAAUUAUCACAUCAAUAUAAUGUUAAUAGAGAUAGUCAAAAAGAAGCGGUUGGAAGCUUGAACCAAGUGCAUCAAUUCAGACUAGUAAUUAAUAAUUCCUCUUUACUAAAUGUCAUCAUCAUUGUCCUCUUUCCUCCGUACGUUCCUAUCUUCUCUCUUCAUCUUGUUCUCUACGACAACUUUCACCAAAUCCAAAAUUAGCUAGCUUUAGUGAAGGUUAAAAAACCUCUGGGGACCUCGGCAUCGGAUACUGGACCAAGGCUCACUACUCACUAACAACCAUUGAUUAACAAUGAUCCAACAAGUCACCAAGAAUCAAAGGAAGCAUAAAAUAAAUUACACAAACAAAAACUAACCAUUUAUUUAUAUGUUGUAGUUGAAUACCUACUUAAGUUGAUAUCAAUGUAGACGUUAAUUUCGGCAUAUUUGUCUAUAAUUAUUUUGAAACUCAGGAAUAUUCAAAGUACUAGUCUUGGAAUCAUAAACAACCAACUUCAUUGAGAGACUAUUGUGAUCACACGAUUUACAUUCAAAGACCAAAAUAACUAUUAUUUUACCUCCUUCUUUUAGAGCUUCUCAUGUCAAUUUUAAAAGUAUAAUUUUUAUCCUUCAAAAAAAAAAAAAAGUAUAAUUUUUGAACACUUUUUUUUGUUAUAUUUGCAUUGCAUUCUUACUCUCUCUAUUCUUUUUGACCAAUAAAAAGAAAAAAAAUAAAAAUUGAGUCAAAAGUUAUCAUAAAAUAGUAUUACUCUUAUAAGAAAUAAGAAAUACUUAGGCACAACACCAAAUAAAAAUAUUUGAACACAUACAUAAAAUUAUUUUUGUGAGUGUGUCGAAAUAAUGUUAAACAUGGUUAGAAAUAUCCUUAUGAAGAACUAAUUGCUCAUACAUAGAUUACUCAUCUAACAAAUCUAGUUUUACAAUGACAUCUAUCUAAAAUGGGGUUCAAUCAAAUCCCUCAUGGAAAACAUAAGUCGCUUCGCUGCCCAAUAUACUUUACAUAAAAUAAUACUGGAGUAGGAUCAAAACAUUCAUUCUCCGAGAUGUUUCACCGUUUGAAAAUGCUAAGUGAAAGUAUUAUUUUAUAUCAACUGAAUCCAAACUCAAGAAUUAAAAAUUACUUAUGGAAUUAUCAUGCUAGAUUUUACUUAUGAAGAUGUUUUUGAAGAUAAUGAUGAACCUGGUGCAUAACAUCUUCUAAAUGUUUUUUCCAACCGUCUACAUGUAGAAUUGAUGGCCAUAGGAUAUGACUUAGAAUUGGUUUGGAGCUCAGGUGGCUCUUUCUGAAAAAUAAAGGUAUCAAGGACUCUUACUCUAAGGAUGUGCUAUUGAAUCUACAUUAAAAUGAACUGAGUGGUAAUGGUAACCCAUAAUUGGAAACUGAAAAAUGAAUGUCCUAUAUGAUUAUUUCAGCACUAACAACACAUAAAAUUGCCAAGAAAUUAAUAAAAUGUUAAAUUGUUUAGAAAAUUGAUGACUAACAUGUAUGGAGGGAAGCUCUACAGAGCAGGAAACUAGGAUGACUAUAACUUGGACUUAUAUUAUUAUAAUGGGCCUAUCUUAGAUCGUUACAUUGCAUUCCACCAUCCAUCAAGGAAAACUAAAUUGUUUCCUCAAAAAUAAAAAAAUGCAAUUAAUAAAUAAAUUAUUUGAGAAAGAAAGAAGAAAUGUAAAAGAGGGGAAGUAAUUAAGUUAUUAUCAUUUCAAGUGAAAACUUGAAGAUGACGUGUUGUGUUAAAUUUUUCAGAUGGUAUAUAUAUUCAUUAGAUCGAAAAAUAAACUACAGGGAAAAAAGGAUGGAAGUCGAACAAAUUAACGUAUUUAUUUAUUAAUAUUUGUUAAUAUAUUAUAAAUGUUGUCGC
RNAcentral lists this long non-coding RNA (2313 nucleotides) under Medicago truncatula (barrel medic). Its description in RNAcentral is "long non-coding RNA (MTRU_LNC000089)". Lineage: Eukaryota; Viridiplantae; Streptophyta; Magnoliopsida; Fabales; Fabaceae. The record is from RNAcentral.